RNAcentral lists this ribosomal RNA (371 nucleotides) under uncultured bacterium. RNAcentral describes it as "bacterial SSU rRNA". It matches the Rfam family "Bacterial small subunit ribosomal RNA", at positions 917 to 1289 of the family's 1533-position model. The record is from RNAcentral.
GGGCCCGCACAAGCGGUGGAGUAUGUGGUUUAAUUCGAUGCAACGCGAAGAACCUUACCAGGGUUUGACAUCCUGCGAAUCUCUUGGAAACGAGAGAGUGCCUUCGGGAACGCAGUGACAGGUGGUGCAUGGCUGUCGUCAGCUCGUGUCGUGAGAUGUUGGGUUAAGUCCCGCAACGAGCGCAACCCUCACUUUUAGUUGCCAUCAUUAAGUUGGGCACUCUGAAAGAACUGCCAGUGAUAAGCUGGAGGAAGGUGGGGAUGACGUCAAGUCCUCAUGGCCCUUACGUGUUGGGCUACACACGUGCUACAAUGCUACGGACAAAGGGCUGCAAGUUCGCGAGGACAAGCAAAUCCCAUAAACCGUGGCUC